RNAcentral lists this long non-coding RNA (2243 nucleotides) under Malus domestica (apple). RNAcentral's name for it is "long non-coding RNA (MDOM_LNC013178)". Lineage: Eukaryota; Viridiplantae; Streptophyta; Magnoliopsida; Rosales; Rosaceae. The record is from RNAcentral.
CAAACUUCCUAAGUCAUAUUCAUAUGCUUUGGCCAAAGACUCCCGAAUCAUAUCUUAGAGUAUUCUCCCUCCAUCAUGGAAGCUUAGAGAUCCCUUGUUGUGCAUUCAUAUGCCUACAUGACUAGAUAUCUUGACCCCAACAAUGUCGUGGGCACUCUCGAUGGAAUGCCUUUGACAUGAUCAAAGAUCAAUGACCUAACCAUUAGACAUCUAUGAUGCCUUAGGUCAAAGGACUACUUUGCAUAUUGCAACUAACAAGUUCUUACAUGACAUGUAUGUUCGAACUCUCUUUUGAUCAUUGUUCAGUGUACUCGAUUACCCUUUCAAGCACCUACGUGUUUGUCUGAGUGUCCAACACUAAAUGAUUUAAGACUAGUCAUACUCAUGCUUGAGUUGACAUAACACAUACUAACCUUAGCGGAUUGUCAAUGCCCAAUUGGCAUUCCUAUGGCUAGGAACGUUUUAGGAAUGAACAUAAGAGAAAGGUCUCAUUAAUCUAACUUACUUAGAUCACUUCUCUCUCAGAUUAAAUACUUUCCUUGGAUUCCUUUAUUGCUUAAACACAUGAUACAAUAAAUAGUGAUUAACAAUAAGCUUUGCCCUUCAUUAAACAUAUAAUAGUUUAAUACAAUAAGUAUUCCAAAAUCUAUUACAUCAAAUAAGUGGCUUUGUGGGCAUACUUACCGAGUCGUAGGUGAUCCGCGAUUAUUCGCACAGGCUUCACGUGAUCGUAGCACUUGAGCAUACUUAUUUACACCUAGCCCUGUCUUAUAGACCACAUUAGGUGGUUCCGAUUUGUGUGCAAGAAUUGGUUGAUGAGCUAUAGGUUUAGUCGUACAGGUCACAUUAGGUGACUCCGGCUGGCAUAUCAUUUUACAUUGAUUUAUUUCACGUGGCUUACUUAUUUCAUUGUUGAGAUACUUGACAUUGCAUAUACUUGGUUUUCACUACUCUCGAGCAUGAUUUCUAUAUACAUAUGUAUUAUUAUUUUCUGUGAAAUUAUACGGGUUUUAUGACAAGGGGUUAUAACGUUUUCAAAAGGUUUUUAUUAAAAACUUUAUUUUCAGGCCCACUCACCCUUGUUUUUGCGCCCCUCCUGGUUUUAGCUGCUGAAAGUCCGUAUUGACGAGGAUUCUUGGCAAAUCUUAGUAUAGGUGGCUACCUCUAAGGGUAUGAUCCUUACCCACACUACCGUACUUUACUUAUGCUCUGACGUCGUGUGUGAAAUGGGUUCAUUCCCACUCACAGCGCACUCUUGUCUUUAGGUACUUGUAGGUUUAAAUUUAUUCACAUUUUCCACAUCACUAUACUUUAUGGCUUCGUCACUUUCCAGAUGUCGGCCAACAUAGCUCGAUUCGAAGUUGAUGCGAAAAUUAACUUAACACACAAAUUUAACCCUCUUUUGACAAUUGUAGUAUAAGUAUAAGUAGGGAUCGUUCUGGACCGGGGAUCAGGAGGGCUUGCUAAUAACCUCUAAACUAACUCAAAAACAUAAAACUAAACUUAAAAACACUUAACAAGACUCACAAGACUUAAAGCAAACUUAAAAUACUCAAAACGGCUUAAAACAACCAAAUAAACUGAAACUAGACACUAGGAAUGACUUUGGAUGAAAAUUGACUUUUACUUGAAUCAAAACAUUUAAAAACACAAAUUAAAACAAAUUCUAACUAAUUAGACACACUAAAGUAAAGGGGGAGUGAGUUUUGGACGAAGUUGAAACAAACAAACAAGUAUGAAAACUAGACAGAUUGUAAAACAAAUUUGAGAAAUAAGAUGAUGGAUGGGAUAGCUAGAGGCUUUUUCUCCACACAUGAUAUGUAUGCAAACAACUCGAUUUCCAGUUACUACUUCAUUGAAUUAUGAACAACAAUGCUCCAAAUUAACCGUGACAUCACUAGUUAACUCUCAGAUUUUCCUUAUUUUAUUGGAUUGGAUGACAUCAUUUGACAACCCAAAACAUUCUUCAAAAGUCCCCUACAUGACAUCAUAAUAGAAAUACAAUCAAAGAUCAUUACGUUUAAUGAAAAUCAUAAGCAUUGACAAAGCACUUGCAACUAUGACAUCAUAUCACUCAUGCUAGGAAUUGAACUUAACACGAUCGUUUAUAAGUGACCUUCACUACAUGUGAAUAUAAGUUUGUAACGAUUAUGUGAAACUUCCUUAUACUCUAGCAACGGAUUUAUGCAUGCCAAUUAAGUGUCGACCCUUAAUUAACAAAUACAAAUAAGUUAUCAAUCAAA